CCCUUAGAUGUUCUGGGCCGCACGCGCGCUACACUGUUCGACGCAGCGAGUCUUAACCUUGACCGAAAGGUUUGGGUAAUCUUCAGCAAAGUCGAACGUGAUGGGGAUCGAUCAUUGCAAUUAUUGAUCGUGAACGAGGAAUUCCAAGUAAGUGCAAGUCAUCAGCUUGCGCUGAUUACGUCCCUGCCCUUUGUACACACCGCCCGUCGCUACUACCGAUUGAAUGGUUUAGUGAGAUCUCUGGAUUGACGCUGGCUAGGGGGCGACCCUUGGCCAGGCUGUCGAGAAACUGCUCAAACUUGAUCAUUUAGAGGAAGUAAAAGUCGUAACA
Molecule: ribosomal RNA, 331 nt
Filed under: uncultured eukaryote
Lineage: Eukaryota
Description: partial 18S ribosomal RNA
Rfam family: Eukaryotic small subunit ribosomal RNA
Source: RNAcentral